UCCUUAUAAUCUGUAUUCCUAUAUUUUUCAUUUUUUUAAUCAUACAAUGAUAGAAACUUCCUUACUUCCUCUAUUAACCUUUCAAUUUCCAUUUUGAAUAGCUAAAUUUUAUUGCUCGUUCGAGACCGUACAGCGCACCGUCACCGUUGAAAAUUAAACAAAACUUUUCCCACUCGUCACGGAUGCGGUGCGUGCUACAUGCUCGGGCACGGUGCGCUGAUGUUAAGACUUCGCCAUAUGAUUACUAUAGUGUUGUUGACAACCGAGACACGGCCGAGCUGCGCUGCGGGCACGGUGCGUCCUCGGUACGGAUAUGUGGGCCCCGACCUAAAUCGUGUCAUCUCUAAAAACACGUGGAAAAUCAUGAGCGUGAGUGUUAUGCGCACGCAAAAUGAUAGAUCGGGAGGAGAUUUUAAACGUGCAUUCCGUUGGAGUGUGGGGAGUACUGCUUACGUCGAGUUCUGUACCCACACUCCACACCACCACGUCGGGGUCUUUUAAAGUUACUACGUAUUUCAAGUAGUUGCUAUUUUAGAUUUUUAUUAUGACUGAUAUUCGUCACGCCACCAAAGAAUUCUUAACAGAAUUCAUAGAGAUCUAUAGGUCUCAUCCAGCAUUGUGGAAAGUGAAAUCGAAGGAGUAUGUGAAUAGAAACUUAAAAAAUUUGGGAUAUGAUGCACUAGUGCAAUUUUAUCGCAAGGUCGAUCCAAAUGCUGAUCGAGACCUUGUCUCUAAGAAAGUUCAAUCGAUAAGGGGUGCGUUUCGAAAAGAGCUUAAAAAAACUGAAAAAUUUAAGAGAAGUAGCGCUUCUAGUGAUAGUCAAGAGUUUUGAUACUGUGGCGAACAGUCCGUCAUGCUCCGAAGAGACCUCUGCUUUUGAGACCGGUGAUAACCUUGAGGAAAACGCUACACAAAAUAGCCAAAUUUCUUCAGUUGAAGAACAACCACGUCCUGCUUCUAGAAAGGAAAAGGAAAAAGGUGAAAGCAAUGAAAUGAUUUUCACAACACCUGUCAAAAGAGCAAAGACGAAGGUGACACCACAUGAGAUGCAACAGCAAAUAUUUAUGAAAAGUUGCACGGACGCAUUGAAAAACUGUGAUGAAGAAUCAGAAAGUACAGCCGUCGGGAAAUUUGUUGCCACAAAAAAUAGAAAGUUGAAUGGGAGUCAACAGAUGUACGCUAAAACCCUGAUUACAAAAAUAUUACAUAAAGCUGCUCUAAAUCAAUUAACUGAAGACACUAGUAUUUUCGACCUUCAGUCUCAAAAUCGAAAUACUUUUUCUUCGCCCAGAUUGCUAUCAUCAAUAACAUCUUCACCAGCACCAUCAUCUGGAAGUCUGGAACAUCAGGAGCAGCCACAAAAUGCAGGACAGUUGAUGUCAGAUUUUUCAACGUAUUUUAACAUGUAAAAUAACUGA
This is a long non-coding RNA of Anthonomus grandis grandis, 1418 nucleotides long. RefSeq lists it as uncharacterized. The record is from RefSeq and is a predicted model, not a curated record. The transcript has 3 exons. NCBI's taxonomy places the organism in Eukaryota, Metazoa, Arthropoda, Insecta, Coleoptera, Curculionidae.